RNAcentral lists this ribosomal RNA (818 nucleotides) under uncultured bacterium. RNAcentral's name for it is "bacterial SSU rRNA". It matches the Rfam family "Bacterial small subunit ribosomal RNA", at positions 58 to 917 of the family's 1533-position model. The record is from RNAcentral.
CAAGUCGUACGAAGAUCUUUGAUCUUAGUGGCGGACGGGUGAGUAACACGUGAGAAUCUGCCCUUAGGAAGAGGAUAACAGCUGGAAACGGUUGCUAAUACUCUAUACGCCGAGAGGUAAAAGGAUUUAUCCACCUUAGGAAGAGCUCGCGUCUGAUUAGCUUGUUGGUAAGGUAAUGGCUUACCAAGGCGACGAUCAGUAGCUGGUUUGAGAGGACGACCAGCCACACUGGGACUGAGACACGGCCCAGACUCCUACGGGAGGCAGCAGUGGGGAAUUUUCCGCAAUGGGCGAAAGCCUGACGGAGCAAUACCGCGUGAGGGAUGAAAGCCUGUGGGUUGUAAACCUCUUUUCUCAAGGAAGAAGUUCUGACGGUACUUGAGGAAUAAGCAUCGGCUAACUCUGUGCCAGCAGCCGCGGUAAUACAGAGGAUGCAAGCGUUAUCCGGAAUCACUGGGCAUAAAGCGUCUGUAGGUUGCUUACCAAGUCUGCUGUUAAAGAUCAGGGCCUAACCCUGGGAAAGCAGUGGAAACUAGUAGGCUUGAGUAUGGUAGAGGUAGAGGGAAUUCCUGGUGUAGCGGUGAAAUGCGUAGAUAUUAGGAAGAACACCAAUGGCGAAAGCACUCUACUGGGCCAUAACUGACACUGAGAGACGACAGCUAGGGGAGCAAAUGGGAUUAGAUACCCCAGUAGUCCUAGCCGUAAACGAUGGAUACUAGGUGUUGCACGUAUUAACCCGUGCAGUAUCGUAGCUAAGGCGUUAAGUAUCCCGCCUGGGAAGUACGCUCGCAAGAGUGAAACUCAAAGGAAUUGACGGG